Molecule: non-coding RNA, 1398 nt
Organism: Notechis scutatus (mainland tiger snake)
Lineage: Eukaryota; Metazoa; Chordata; Lepidosauria; Squamata; Elapidae
Source: RefSeq, a predicted model, not a curated record
CCUAUCUUAUCCUAUCCUAUUCUACAUUUUAAAUUCUAUCUCAACUCCGUCUAAUUUCAGGGGAUAUCUGGGAAUCUUCUUUCCCGAAUGGGAGGGGAAAAGAAAGGCGGAGGCUUUGGCUCUCAAUAAAAACGGCUCUCCCGCCUUUAAUUUUUUAUCGCUCCGCGGACAUCGCUUCAUGAGGGCUUCCUGAGCGAGGCGAAAGCGGGGCGCGAGCGGGAGAACCUCGGCAUGCCAACGGUAAACCGCCGAGCUCUGGAAUGGCUCUACUGGCUGAUUCUUCUUGCUACUGUAUUGAUUUCGUGGGGCUACGUCAUUUACGCAACCCGAAUAGCAGCCAAGUGGCAAUUGAAGGAGAUGUAUCCCACACAAGCCCAGAAUAUUUGAGAUAUCUCCAGAGUGGAAUACCACAGAAAUACAAGCACAUUCUAUAACACCAUAAAUAAUAAUCUGCAAAAACAUGAAUUCCCAACUGGAGCGGUUGAGCUGCACGAGUAUUAUUGAAGCUUCAGAAAUGCAGAUAAAGAUAUCAAAACAGCUGAACAUCUGAUACGCAGUACUAUUAACAUAUAACUGAGAAAAUAUUUUUGAAUACAGUUUUAAAAAAAAGAAUUUUAUGUUUUCCACUUUACUGCUUAUUUCAAUAUGUUUCAGAAGAGCAAGGCUAACUAGAUUCAAGAAAGUUUGGUUUGGUUUUCAAGUUAAAAGUUACUCUCCUACACAAUGCUUUUAAUGGUACAGAACUAAAUGCCUGAAUAUCUAUGGAAGGAUUGGCAAAAAAUGUAUAUGUGAGAAUUAUACAGUGAGAAUUUGAAGUUAAAUGGAUGAUCAAGCUAUUUGAUACUAUUCUGAAGAAAAAUCCUCAUCAUACUGCUUCUAUAAAAUCCAAGGUCAGCUACUAAAUCAGGAGUACUAAUAGAUUCAAUAGAAGUGCCAAUGCUACCUGCAAUACAUCAAAAAGUUGUCCCCAAACUACAGACCAAUUAAUCUACCUGCGAAUGUUGCAAAUGAGAGGAUUGGUUACACUUUUUCAUUGCUAUCCUAACUGAACGUUGCUGCACAAGGCAGAUGCCAGAUGAGAACUACCUGUAAAUCUACCUGUAGAUUUAGGAAGUGGUAUAUGCUCUGGUUAACUCCUGUGAUAACCUUUCAUUGCAGAUUAAUGAUAACGACAUUACCAAAAUAAUGCUAUUCACUAACAAACACAAGAGGGUAAAUUAUCACAACAUGAUCAGAGUUUAUUACAGAUAAUCUGACCCAGAAGUAUAUCAGACAAUGAUUAUUUGAUAAGAAACUAAGGCCAGUCUCAUACUACUGAUGUCUUCUUAGAAAACCAGGUAUUCAGGUAUUGGAGAACUUAAUUUGAUUUUAAUGCCUCUAGCAUUAAAUAAAAAUGAA